AUGACCUCACAGCACGGAGGCACACGGCUCCGGUGUCCAGCAGGCACGGAAUUAAUACGUCUUGCCUGUCCUGGCCGGUUGGCUUGCCUCUCUCCUGUCAGAAUGCAACCUGGCUUUAUGCACCUAGAUGUCCCCAGCGCCCAGUUCUGAGCCAGGCACAUCAAAUGUCAAGGAAUUGACUGAACGAUCUAAGAGCUCCUGGAUGGGUCCGGGAACUCGCCCGGGAACAAGGUGCCAAAAGGCAGGCAGCCCGCCCCGCGGCCUGGGGAAAGAACCGACAGGCGGCCGCGGUGAGCGCCCGGGCGCCCGGCAGGUGGCGCCGCAGCCCCGGGCCCGAGCCCUCUCGUCGCGCGGUCACGCAGCCCCUCUUCCUUCCGCCGGCUGCGCACUCACAGUGAUCCCUGCGCGCCUCUCCUGUUGGGGUCCGUGCCCCGCGCUGCGCUGGGCGCCAUGGCGUUCCCCGGAGCCCGGGCCCGCGUCUGGGCGGCAGCAGCCAGAGCGGCCCAGAGGAGCCGCCGCGUGGAGAACGCAGGAGAGUCCCCGAGUCCUGAGCCUGCGGGCCGGCGCGCGGCGCUUUACAUACACGGUGGAGUCUGUGUUCUUUGGUGGGGGGACCCCCAGUCUAGCCAGUCCCCACACGUUGGCUGCUGUCCUGGAGGCGGUGGCACAGACAGCCCACCUGCCUGCAGACUCGGAAGUCACAUUGGAGGCUAAUCCUACUUCAGCUCCGGGCUCCAGACUGGCAGAGUUCGGGGCAGCAGGGGUCAACAGGUUGUCUAUAGGCCUCCAGUCCCUAGAUGACACUGAGCUCCGGCUGUUGGGACGGACGCACUCGGCCUGCGAUGCUCUGUGGACGCUGGCAGAGGCCCGGCGCCUCCUUCCCGGGCGCGUGUCUGUGGACUUGAUGCUGGGGCUGCCGGCACAGCAGGUGGGGCCGUGGCUUGGGCAGCUGCAGGAACUGCCGCACCACUGUGAUGACCACCUCUCCCUCUACCAGCUGUCCCUGGAGCGGGGCACCGCACUCUUCGCCCAGGUGCAGCGGGGUGCCCUUCCAGCCCCUGACCCGGAGCUCGCAGCUGAGAUGUACCAGAGGGGCCGGGCCGUUCUUCGGGAGGCUGGCUUCCACCAGUAUGAGGUCUCCAACUUUGCCCGGAAUGGGCCUUCGGUGUUCCUGGGAGGGUCUGGCUGUGCUGGACUCUCUCUUGCUGACCCUCCUGCCUCAGCUCCAAGAGGCCUGGCGGCAGAGAACCCCCUCCCCUGUGCCAGGAGGAUGACAAAAUGUUCCUGUGUUCCAGGGUAAUGCCAGGGUACCAUGACGCCAGAAGUAAUCUAGUAUCACUGCCAAAUGAGGCAUGCUAAGCUCAGCCUCUAGCUGAGUGACUAAGAAUGGGGCCUCCCCACCUCUCAGAUAGGGACAUUCGUGGAGGCUCUCUAACUCGACUCAAGUCCUAUAAGCAUGCCUUGGAUAAUCCUUUGAAGGAAUAUCAUUUAGUCCAACUUAAUGAAACCGAUAUCCUUCACGUACUGACGGAAACACUGGCGGCACAUAUUGAGGCCAUAUUUCCGGAUCAGACCGUGCCGGUUUGAACAGAUGCGACAAGAGCGAGAACCCUGGCCAAAUUUAUGCGGGUGGCUCCAGUACAGCUGCUGAUGACCCAUCCUGCUCUCAGCAGUGCAACGAGAGUUGAAACUGUGGGACAACCAGACAGAAGAGACAGCAUAGGAGUGUGUGCAGAAAAACAGGAUGGAUAUGACUCUCUGCAGCGGAAUCAAGCUGUGUGCAUUACUACAAAUGGGUGAUGACAACUCCGUGAGGGUGGAGAUUAUAUGUCUCUCAUCAUUUAAGCAACAAGGAAAUAAAUUAGUGGCAGAGUGAGGGGCGACUCGGAUCUCACUCUGUCACCCAGGUGGGAGUACAGUGGUGCAAUCACAGUUCACUACAGACUCGACCUCCCUGGGCUCAGGUGAUCCUCCCACCUCAGCCUCCCAAGUAGCUGGGACUACAGGCAUGUGUCACCACACCCAGCUAAUUUUUGUAUUUUUUGUGAAGACAAGAGUUUCACUAUGUUGGCCAAGCUGGCCUCAAACUCCUGACCUCAAGUGAUCCACCCACCUCGGCUUCCCAAAGUACUGGGAUUACAGGUGUGAGCUACCACCGCCGAGCUACAGUUCAUCUUGUGCCGUAAUCUAUUUCACUGUCUACAUGAGCAAAGUGGGAGAUCACUGUCAUGGCCUAAGUUACAUGGCCGAGACAAGCCAUGGCCUGGAAGUCCCAGGUUCUCCUAUGUGGGCACUUUCCUGGGAUAUGCUAAAUGAUGGGAAAUCUGGGUCUCAUGUUUCUGUGUGGUCCUCACCUCACUCGACUUCUGCUCUUUCUGUUCACUCUCAUUAAUAUGGUUAUCAGUUUUCCAUUGGUCCAUAUCCCAUUCUGCCUUGGAUGCCUUUGCUUCCUGCUGCUUGCUGAGAAGCUUCAUCAGGAGGCCUGUUCGUGACACGAGCUUGGCACAGGACAUUUGCACAUAUGUUUCUGAACAUUCCAUUUUCAGGAUCCGGAUAACAUGAGACAUGAACCUUCUGACAUCCUCGUUGGGGAUGAGGGACCGUAGCUGCUGGGUUAGCUGAAUUUCAAACUGAUCACCUGGGGAGGAGAGCAAUGGGUCAUUGAAGCUUUCGGGCUCGGGGGACAGGUCAGUGCCCACGUUGUUGUGUUCCCAUUUUGUCUCAGUGUGUGUAACAGUUGGCUCUAAGUUGAAUGCAGUCCCAGCGGAAGCUGCCUCAGGAUGAUUGUAGUUUGUGUUUUCAGAGAUGCUACCUUCUGGCAUAACAGUGUUUUCCAUAAAAACGUUUUCUUCAGAGGCAUCUCUUGCAGCUGUGUCUUCUACGUGACUGUUUUCUCUAAAACGUUCUGAAGGAGCAAAUACUUCCAGAAGAGGGUUUUCUUGAGGACUCAGGUCUCCUAAGGAUGAAAAAACCCCUUGUGAAUUUAUGAGGCUCUUCUCUGCAGAGAACGGCGGCCUCUUUGCGAGCAUCAGUCUAUUGAGAUAACUGCCCUUUCUAAACUUUCUAAUCUUUUUGGCCUUGGGUGUUCUGUGGGCCACACGGGAGCGAGUUUUAUAAAAGCGGUAUUUUUUUCUGGAAUGUGCGAUUGGUUUAGCAGCCUCCAUGUUUUUAACCCUAGCCAUUGCAAUUUCUAACAUUAAAAUGCUGUAGGCUAAGUCUUUCGAUCUGUCUCUGACCUGAGGUAGGGCUUUUGCAGGGCUAGAGGCAGAAGGCACGCCCAUGGAGAAGGGUUUCAGCAUAGAGGAGACUGCUGCCUUAUGCUCCUGGGUGAACAAAGGCUUGGUGUAGAUGGUGUUUCCCGCUACCUUCUCAGGCCCCUGCACUACGUGAGGCUGUUCCAGCUCCCUUGGGGCUGGACUCUCAAGCCUUUUUUCUUUGGCAGCAUUGUCCACAAAUGCCUGGGCAUCCUGUUCUUUCCUAGUGCUGUGCUUUCCCACCUCUUUGAAGUGUCUUUUCUGGAUGCUCCUCGGGCCUGUGAGGACUCUGUUCACUCUCUGCAGGUUUUUGCCUACACUGUGAAUCUUUGCCAGGCUGUUUUCCUGUGGUUCAACAGUUUCUAGUUUAUUUGGAAAUAUUUGAUGUUUAAAUUUGUUACCUAGAAGGUUGGACUGUGAGGGGCUCUUUCUACUGUUUUUCAAACUACUCAGGAGCCUAUCCCCACCUUGUACAUUUGAAAAAAGCAGUUUAGCGAAUGGUAACAAUAUGGAUUCUGCAUCUAGAUUUCCUUCUGAGAAAUAAGGGAAGAUGUUGCACUCACUCUCGUCAUUGAUGUCUUGCUGCUCACUCCCAAAGCCUGACAACUUGAUGCCGCUGCUGUCUGAGGGCGCCUCCGACUCAAUAGUCAGCUCAGUGCUUGUGUGCUGCUUCCGGGCUAGUAACACCUUCAUGAACGCUCCUUCUGGAUUCCCUACAGAUGCUUCUUCAGCUGUCAGAAAAGAAGAGACUGUUUUCAUCAUGAAAGAUCUUUGAUCAUCUUUCAUACUCAGUCCGUAGCUGUACGCCCCAGUCACACAGAGUAAGAGUCAGCAAACAUUCGAGUGCCAUUCAGAGAGGAGAAACAUACACCCAAACCUAAACCUAUGAAAUGGCAACAAUGAAAAGAGGAAAAGACAUCUUUUGAAAACAUGGCCACCUACUUGGAACAUUCCAUAGUGUGACAUAGAGUCAAUCUGCUUAAGAUUAUUCCGUUGAUCCCCAGGGGCCAAUUGCCCAGUGCUCGGUCAAAGCCCAAGGUGGAAGACAAGUGCUUCCCUGAUGAGCUGGCCUCUCUGCAGACUGCUCCGUACCCUGUGCUGUCCUGUCUCAUAUGCAGAGAGAGCACAAGGCUCCCGCUCUCCUCAUCCUCAGUGUGCCCGUGUUCUUGCUACCAUCACAGCUGAAUGCAAUGAAAGGCGGUCCUCUGAGAGGAGCUGGGUGGAGAUGCUAAAGUGGAUGCCCCCUCCCAUUGCUGAUAGAUCCUCGUCUGCCAUGUGCUCCACCCACCCACCGCAUUCUCUGCUCCCACAUAUCACAACCCCAUCACAAAAGAUGCGACAUGGAAAAAAACACUGUGUCCACCUUAAUUCUUUUCUUAAAUUUGGGCAGGGAUCCAGGGUGUAGGUUAAGAGAUUUUUAAUUUGCCAGACUGUAUGCCUAUGUUGUUAAAUACACAAUGAAUCUAUGGUAUGAUAGCAGUUUCUGGAUAAACAUUACUUGAGGUCCUAAAUGCAGAAGGGAAAAAGCAA
Molecule: RNA transcript, 4784 nt
Organism: Symphalangus syndactylus (siamang)
Lineage: Eukaryota; Metazoa; Chordata; Mammalia; Primates; Hylobatidae
Gene name: radical S-adenosyl methionine domain-containing protein 1, mitochondrial-like
Source: RefSeq, a predicted model, not a curated record